RNAcentral lists this ribosomal RNA (253 nucleotides) under uncultured bacterium. RNAcentral's name for it is "partial 16S ribosomal RNA". It matches the Rfam family "Bacterial small subunit ribosomal RNA", at positions 524 to 776 of the family's 1533-position model. The record is from RNAcentral.
UACGUAGGGGGCAAGCGUUGUCCGGAAUCAUUGGGCGUAAAGCGCGUGUAGGCGGCUUGGUAAGUCCGCUCUGAAAGCCCGGGGCUCAACCCCGGGAGGCGGGUGGAUACUGUCAAGCUCGAGUCCGGAAGAGGCGAGUGGAAUUCCUGGUGUAGCGGUGAAAUGCGCAGAUAUCAGGAGGAACACCAAUGGCGAAGGCAGCUCGCUGGGACGUGACUGACGCUGAGACGCGAAAGCCAGGGGAGCGAACGGG